This 253-nucleotide ribosomal RNA is filed under the name uncultured bacterium. Its description in RNAcentral is "partial 16S ribosomal RNA". It matches the Rfam family "Bacterial small subunit ribosomal RNA", at positions 524 to 776 of the family's 1533-position model. The record is from RNAcentral.
UACGGAGGGAGCUAGCGUUGUCCGGAAUUACUGGGCGUAAAGCGUGCGCAGGCGGUCUUGUAAGACAGUCGUGAAAGCCCCGGGCUUAACCUGGGAACUGCGAUUGUGACUGCAAGGCUAGAGUGUGUCAGAGGGGGGUGGAAUUCCACGUGUAGCAGUGAAAUGCGUAGAGAUGUGGAGGAACACCGAUGGCGUAGGCAGCCAACUGGACAGUAACUGACGCUCAUGCACGAAAGCGUGGGGAUCAAACAGG